This 131-nucleotide small RNA is filed under the name Kluyvera intermedia. RNAcentral's name for it is "RtT sRNA". It matches the Rfam family "RtT RNA". Rfam says of the family: This family represents a bacterial cis-regulatory element known as RtT RNA. Lineage: Bacteria; Pseudomonadati; Pseudomonadota; Gammaproteobacteria; Enterobacterales; Enterobacteriaceae. The record is from RNAcentral.
UAUCCUGCCCACGCGGGAAGGAUGAGAAGCUUCGACCAAGGUUCGAUUCGAGCGUAGCGAGAAAGCGUUGCCGCAGGCAACGACCCGAAGGGCGAAGCGCGCAGCGCUGAGUAAUCCUUCCCCCACCACCA